CAGCUGUUUCAACAAGUUAGUGUGGCUGGUUCUUGCUGUUGAUGCUGCUUCGGCUUCUCUGGUGUAAGUGAUAAGAUGUUGGCCACGCAGCUUUAUAGGUUCACCGUCCCGUUGUAGCGUGUAGUUCAGGUUUUCAGGUUUUAUAGGUUGGACUCAAAAUGUAAAAUAUGUACAAAAGGUACAUUUGCAACUGGUUAUGAAAUGUAGAAGUAAUGUCCAACUUCUGCUUUCUGAUA
This is a non-coding RNA of Gasterosteus aculeatus aculeatus (three-spined stickleback), 236 nucleotides long. NCBI's taxonomy places the organism in Eukaryota, Metazoa, Chordata, Actinopteri, Perciformes, Gasterosteidae. The record is from RefSeq and is a predicted model, not a curated record.